AGAGUUUGAUCAUGGCUCAGGAUGAACGCUGGCGGCGUGCCUAACACAUGCAAGUCGAGCGAUUCUCUUCGGAGAAGAGCGGCGGACGGGUGAGUAACGCGUGGGUAACCUGCCCUGUACACACGGAUAACGUACCGAAAGGUAUGCUAAUACGAGAUAAUAUGCUUUUAUCGCAUGGUAGAAGUAUCAAAGCUUUUGCGGUACAGGAUGGACCCGCGUCUGAUUAGCUAGUUGGUAAGGUAACGGCUUACCAAGGCGACGAUCAGUAGCCGACCUGAGAGGGUGAUCGGCCACAUUGGAACUGAGACACGGUCCAAACUCCUACGGGAGGCAGCAGUGGGGAAUAUUGCACAAUGGGCGAAAGCCUGAUGCAGCAACGCCGCGUGAGCGAUGAAGGCCUUCGGGUCGUAAAGCUCUGUCCUCAAGGAAGAUAAUGACGGUACUUGAGGAGGAAGCCCCGGCUAACUACGUG
Molecule: ribosomal RNA, 472 nt
Filed under: uncultured bacterium
Lineage: Bacteria
Description: bacterial SSU rRNA
Rfam family: Bacterial small subunit ribosomal RNA
Source: RNAcentral